Molecule: ribosomal RNA, 106 nt
Filed under: Pteropus alecto (black flying fox)
Lineage: Eukaryota; Metazoa; Chordata; Mammalia; Chiroptera; Pteropodidae
Also listed under: 1 other name
Source: RNAcentral
CACAGUCCACCCUGAAUAAGCCUGAAGUCUGAUCUCGGAAGUUAUGCAGGGUCGGGCCUGGUUAGCACUUGGAUGGGAGACUACCUAGGAAGACCAGGUGCUGUAA